This 253-nucleotide ribosomal RNA is filed under the name uncultured bacterium. RNAcentral describes it as "partial 16S ribosomal RNA". It matches the Rfam family "Bacterial small subunit ribosomal RNA", at positions 524 to 776 of the family's 1533-position model. The record is from RNAcentral.
UACGGAGGGGGCUAGCGUUGUUCGGAAUUACUGGGCGUAAAGCGCACGUAGGCGGCUUUGUAAGUUAGAGGUGAAAGCCCAGGGCUCAACCCUGGAAUUGCCUUUAAGACUGCAUCGCUUGAACAUCGGAGAGGUAAGUGGAAUUCCGAGUGUAGAGGUGAAAUUCGUAGAUAUUCGGAAGAACACCAGUGGCGAAGGCGACUGACUGGACGAUUGUUGACGCUGAGGUGCGAAAGCGUGGGGAGCAAACAGG